CUGGUAGUAAUGGCAGCUUGUCAUUCAUAGGUACAACAUCCUACCAAGACAUCAUGGACUGCCUGAGGAUGGUCAUCUCUGCUGUUACAUGGCCAGAUCAAACCAUGGUGCACAGGAACAUCAGCAGCUCUGGGCCUGUUCAUCCUCCAGUCGUAUAAGGAGAUGGAGGAGGUGAGCCUGUCGGGCCUGGCCCCCGUACACAUGGUGCUGCAGAUGGAACCUGGACAAGAUGAGAAAAAACUGCAUCAACUACCUCAUACAGUAGGAAAGGAGUUGACCACUAAUUAUUUGCUGAUCGUGCUUGAGGUACUACAAAACCUGCCCUUAUGAUUAGGAACACGUCUUUCAGAUGGAAAUCAGACCUGUCGUGAUCAGCAGCUUCUACCAAAAGGCUUGUGAGAGGUGUGGACGUCCUUCCAUCUCAGCAGCCAGCCUCUGGCGAAUCAUGUGACCUUACACCUCAGGUGUAAUUAGAGGAGCAGUGCGACGGCAAGAAAGAGCUGCACCAUGAAUGGCCUGGCCCAAAGCCUGUCCAGCUGCUGACAACCUUGGCUGCACCCUGGACAUGUCAUCCAUCAGCCACCCUCCCACUAACAUUCUUUUGUUUAGUAUUAGAACGUGGUAUCUAUUUUGUAAUGAUAGACUUGACAUAGUCCUGUGGGAAUAUAGAAAGCACUUCUGUGAGUCUAUCACGGAAAACACUUCCGGUUCCUCAAACAUCCGUGUCCAUUCCAUGGAAUUAUGUGAGAUUGUGUGUGUGUGUGUGUGUGUGUGUGUGUGUGUGUGUGUGUGUGUGUGUGUGUGUGUGUGUGUGUGUGUGUGUGUGUGUGUGUGUGUGUGUGUGUGUGUCAUAAGUCACCUUUUCCUUGUAAUUAGACUGAUAUUAUUUGCUGUAUUUUUAUUAAUACUCUGCACUAUACAGCAACACUGGAUGGACAGAUUUUAGGACACUAUGAUCCACCCCAAGUUAUUUCAUCUGAACACUUUUGCACCUUGUUGGUUUACUGUGCACUGUACAGUAGUGUGGAUGACUUUUCCCCUUGCAAUAUUGGAAUUUGUGUAUUUGUGUUCAUUAUUAUUAUUAUUCCCUUCUGCAUCAUUAAAAUUAAUCUAAUAUAUUCAA
This is a long non-coding RNA of Engraulis encrasicolus (European anchovy), 1123 nucleotides long. RefSeq lists it as uncharacterized. The record is from RefSeq and is a predicted model, not a curated record. The transcript is spliced from 6 exons. NCBI's taxonomy places the organism in Eukaryota, Metazoa, Chordata, Actinopteri, Clupeiformes, Engraulidae.